This is a long non-coding RNA of Microcebus murinus (gray mouse lemur), 1102 nucleotides long. RefSeq lists it as uncharacterized. NCBI's taxonomy places the organism in Eukaryota, Metazoa, Chordata, Mammalia, Primates, Cheirogaleidae. The record is from RefSeq and is a predicted model, not a curated record.
AAGGUUUCAUAGCCAGUCAGUGGUCGGGACAUCCCGUUCACGUGACCUGCUUUGGCCAAUAGCAUGUGAGCAGAAGGGACGCAUGCUCUGUCCGAGCGGGAGCUUUGAGAGUCAUCAGAUGACUGUGCUAUUGCGCUUUUCCCUCUGGGCAAGGCUGAGAUGGGGGUGCCCGGUUAUCUUGGGUUCCAGAAUGAGAGAGACAUGGCGCAAAGCCAAAGCUGACCCCACAGCCUUCACAUACGCCAGUGAGGAUAGAAAAGUUUGUUGUUGUAAUAAAUCCAUGGAGGAGAACCUGAUUGUGAAACUAAAGGCACAUGCACCUUAGUCAAGCACACUCCCCGCUCCCCUCUCCCUCGUUGGCGCUGGCGUUUGAUGGAGCUACGCUGGGUGAGCAGUAGCGGGGACCACCUGCUCUUCAAGUUGGUAAAAAUCCUCCACUUUCUCCCGAGGGCAAAGCUGCAUGAGGGAAGCAAGGCCACCCACUGGGGACUCCCCGAUGGGAAGCAGUGACUGUGACCAGAGAUGGUGACUAGGGAGGCUACAAACCAGUGAGAAGGAAAGCGUGGGGCAAGGCGCAGGUGGCCAGGGUUCCAGUGUCUGCGUCCUGCUCGCUCGCCGUGGGACUUCCAGCAAGCCGCUUACCUUCCCCGGGCCAACUUCCUGAGUGCAAAAACAGAGCAGAUUGCUGCCAGCGGCAAAGAGGAAAAGGACGUUGUCCCUGGAAAGAUCAAGCUUUCCCAGUCUUAAGCCAGUGAUCAAUUUGGCAUCGCAAAUUGCAGAACCAUAUGACGGGCUUCCCAGCGAGAGGCAAUAUGCAGUCCCCCGCAUGGCCCAGAAGUGUGCUUGCCAAAAGUGGCAACUAACCCAACUCAAGUCUUCAGAUCUAAUUUCCAGUUUACAAGAAGGGCAGGGGAAGGGGGAGCGAGUUAACUGAGAUAAGGAAACAACAGACAAUUCCUAUAGGAUGCCUGGCCCAGUCUCUCAAAAAAAAAUCAGUGUCUAAAAAAUAAAGAAACAUGACAAUCAAAAAUAUUGUGAGAUUCUUAAUAGAAUUCUGGGUUUUUCUUUUAUGGAGGAGAAAUUCAUAUAAUAUACAACUAAC